AGUUUGAUCCUGGCUCAGAUUGAACGCUGGCGGCAUGCCUUACACAUGCAAGUCGAACGGCAGCACGGGAGCGUUGCUCCUGGUGGCGAGUGGCGAACGGGUGAGUAAUACAUCGGAACGUACCCUGAAGUGGGGGAUAACGUAGCGAAAGUUACGCUAAUACCGCAUAUUCUGUGAGCAGGAAAGAGGGGGAUCGCAAGACCUCUUGCUUUAGGAGCGGCCGAUGUCGGAUUAGCUAGUUGGUGAGGUAAAGGCUCACCAAGGCGACGAUCCGUAGCGGGUCUGAGAGGAUGAUCCGCCACACUGGGACUGAGACACGGCCCAGACUCCUACGGGAGGCAGCAGUGGGGAAUUCUGGACAAUGGGCGCAAGCCUGAUCCAGCCAUGCCGCGUGAGUGAAGAAGGCCUUCGGGUUGUAAAGCUCUUUCGGUGGGGAAGAAAUUGCUUCGGUUAAUACCUGGAGUAGAUGACGGUACCCGCAUAAGAAGCACCGGCUAACUACGUG
Molecule: ribosomal RNA, 505 nt
Filed under: uncultured bacterium
Lineage: Bacteria
Description: bacterial SSU rRNA
Rfam family: Bacterial small subunit ribosomal RNA
Source: RNAcentral